Molecule: unclassified non-coding RNA, 290 nt
Filed under: Hevea brasiliensis (rubber tree)
Lineage: Eukaryota; Viridiplantae; Streptophyta; Magnoliopsida; Malpighiales; Euphorbiaceae
Source: RNAcentral
AGGCUUUAUAUGUCCAUUUGUUCCACUGCUUCCGAUCUUCUGCAUUCUGAUCAACAUAUACCUGCUGAUUAAUCUAGGGUGGGUGUUGCAUCACCUGUAUAUUAUAUUACCAUUGAAAAGAAUUAUCAAGUGGAAUAUUGUUGCAUUUCUAAGGAUGUGGGUAUGGGUGUCAAUACUUUAGAUGGGACCUUGGGAAUAUGUUAUCUAUCUAGCUAUUUUCUUACUUCUGCUGUAUUUCUGGAUCAUAUUCAUUUCUUGUUUCUCAUCUUUGGGGCUCUCUCUGGACUUCC